This 253-nucleotide ribosomal RNA is filed under the name uncultured bacterium. Its description in RNAcentral is "partial 16S ribosomal RNA". It matches the Rfam family "Bacterial small subunit ribosomal RNA", at positions 524 to 776 of the family's 1533-position model. The record is from RNAcentral.
UACGAAGGGGGCUAGCGUUGCUCGGAAUCACUGGGCGUAAAGGGUGCGUAGGCGGGUCUUUAAGUCAGGGGUGAAAUCCUGGAGCUCAACUCCAGAACUGCCUUUGAUACUGAGGAUCUUGAGUUCAGGAGAGGUGAGUGGAACUGCGAGUGUAGAGGUGAAAUUCGUAGAUAUUCGCAAGAACACCAGUGGCGAAGGCGGCUCACUGGCCCGAUACUGACGCUGAGGCACGAAAGCGUGGGGAGCAAACAGG